Non-coding RNA from Gossypium arboreum, 145 nucleotides. NCBI's taxonomy places the organism in Eukaryota, Viridiplantae, Streptophyta, Magnoliopsida, Malvales, Malvaceae. The record is from Rfam.
UAUUAAAAUAUUAAUCUAUUUCUACUGUUAAAAACUGGCGUUACUGACAGAAAAACCAAACAGUUACAUAUGGCAUGCCACAUGUGCCUCAUUUUGACAUACAAUGAUCAAGUUUUAACAGUAGAAAUAGAUGAAAUGUUCAUCA